AUUGAACGCUGGCGGCAGGCCUAACACAUGCAAGUCGAGCGGGGCGGCGGACGGGUGAGGAAUGCCAAGGUAUCUGCCUGGGAGUGGGGGAUAACGACAGGUAACGGGAGCUAAUACCGCAUACUCUCAGAUGAGCAUGGGUCGGAUUAGCUAGUUGGUGGGGUAAAGGCAUACCAAGGCGACGAUCAGUAACUGGUCUGAGAGGAUGAUCAGUCACACUGGAACUGAGACACGGUCCAGACUCCUACGGGAGGCAGCAGUGGGGAAUAUUGGACAAUGGGCGAAAGCCUGAUCCAGCCAUGCCGCGUGUGUGAAGAAGGUCUUCGGAUUGUAAAGCACUUUAAGUUGGGAGGCGUUACCAGCAGAAUAAGCACCGGCUAACUCCGUGCCAGCAGCCGCGGUAAUAC
Molecule: ribosomal RNA, 407 nt
Filed under: uncultured bacterium
Lineage: Bacteria
Description: partial 16S ribosomal RNA
Rfam family: Bacterial small subunit ribosomal RNA
Source: RNAcentral